GAUAACUGCAUCGUGCACGAGCUGACAGGCCAGAGCCCCAUCCGGCAGCGGCCUGCCCAAGCGGGCUGAGCCCAGGGAGGCAUCCCCACUCCACAGCCUGGGCCACCUCAUCAUGGACCAGAGCUAUGUGUGCGCACUCAUCGCCAUGAUGGUGUGGAGCAUCACCUACCAUAGCUGGCUGACCUUUGUGCUGCUGCUCUGGGCCUGCCUCAUCUGGACAGUGCGCAGCCGCCACCAGCUGGCCAUGCUAUGUUCACCCUGCAUCCUGCUGUACGGGAUGACGCUGUGCUGUCUGCGCUACGUGUGGGCCAUGGACCUGCGCCCUGAGCUGCCUACCACCCUGGGCCCCGUCAGUCUGCGCCAGCUGGGGCUGGAGCACACCCGCUACCCCUGCCUGGACCUUGGCGCCAUGUUGCUCUACACCCUGACCUUCUGGCUCCUGCUGCGCCAGUUUGUGAAAGAGAAGCUGCUGAAGCGGGCAGAGGCUCCAGCUGCGCUAACGGAGGUCACUGUGGCAGACACAGGUGAGUGGCAGGCCAGAGGUGGGGGCUGCCCUCCUGCCCGCCCGCCCGCCCCGAUGCCAUCGCCUGCCCCCGGCUUGGCCCACAGAGCCCACGCGGACGCAGACCCUGCUGCAGAGCCUGGGGGAGCUGGUGAAGGGCGUCUAUG
RNAcentral lists this long non-coding RNA (669 nucleotides) under Rhinopithecus bieti (black snub-nosed monkey). RNAcentral describes it as "lncRNA (ENSRBIG00000046756.1)". Lineage: Eukaryota; Metazoa; Chordata; Mammalia; Primates; Cercopithecidae. The record is from RNAcentral.